RNAcentral lists this non-coding RNA (32 nucleotides) under Homo sapiens (human). The record is from RNAcentral. Lineage: Eukaryota; Metazoa; Chordata; Mammalia; Primates; Hominidae.
UAGGAGUCCUUACACAGGUCCAAGGGAUGAGC